UCUCAGCGUGCAUCAUUGGUAAUAUGGAAUCCUUGGAAUACCACAUUUGACCGAUAAAACUAUUAAUUCUUCACCGAGAGCUUAUAUAUAGUUCGAUGGAAAUAUGAGAGCUUAAAGCCUUAAACGCAUGUUAGCUAUUGAAAAUUUGCCUACGCAACAUAGGUAAGUUAUCUUAUAGUUACAAGAUGUACGCAAUGUGAAGUUAAGGGCCCCAAUGAAAUUUGAUAUCUGAGAAACAAAUAUAUG
Molecule: long non-coding RNA, 246 nt
Filed under: Nicotiana benthamiana
Lineage: Eukaryota; Viridiplantae; Streptophyta; Magnoliopsida; Solanales; Solanaceae
Description: long non-coding RNA (NBEN_LNC026088)
Source: RNAcentral